This 1269-nucleotide ribosomal RNA is filed under the name Triticum aestivum (bread wheat). RNAcentral's name for it is "partial small subunit ribosomal RNA". Lineage: Eukaryota; Viridiplantae; Streptophyta; Magnoliopsida; Poales; Poaceae. The record is from RNAcentral.
AUGGCGCCGCCACCUAUCUCAAGCGUGCAGAGCCACAAAAUAGGAUUUAGGGGCGAAGGAGGCGCGUCGGACUGGGCAGCGGCGGCUGCAUCAAGCUCCUGUGAUGCAUCUAUCUCUGUUAAGCAUCCAGUCGAAGCGCAUAGCCCGCCUGCACCAUCCGCGAGAGAGAUGGCAAGCUCGUCACCCGGGAAGCGGACGCACGAGCAGAUCGAGCCAAAGGGUUGGAAGAGGAGGAGGUGGCGUGUCUGGGUGGAGACUAUGCCUGAUGAGAGGGGAGGCGUCCAGACUCGAGACGAGGAUGUUGACAUGAGGGUCGAUGCGUAUUGCGAAGUUGCCUUCGUAGGGAAGGAAACAUCAAUUCAGGCCCGAACCUCGGUACCGAGCUACUCCGACACCUCCCGCACGCGACACCCUCAGCCCCCUCGCUCACCAGCCCCGCGCCGCCAGCCCCGGCCAACCCCAGCUCCGGUGACCCCCAGCCCCCGCGCUCUUAGCCCCGGCGACCCCCAUCCCUAUACCAUCGUCGAUCCCGCGAACCAUCUCCGCUCCAGGGGCGGCUCACCACCUCCUCCCGCCGUCCGGCGCCUCGAGCCUCCCUCCUUCUGCCGUCACCCCCAAGCCCCCGUGAUUUCCUGGAGGUGCUCCGCUCGCUGCCGCUCGAACUUGAACUUGCUGCUCCUUCAUCCCCGCAAGACCGCUCCUCCUGCCAUCCUCGCCCACGAGCUCGUUGUGCUGCACAUGCUCCAAACAACCUCUUCUCUGGUUUCGACUCCCUGUAACACUUGUACCGAUGCAUCUUCUUCGCUAUCAGUUCAAGUGAUCAAAAUGCCCAAAUACGGAGGCAAGAUAAUUGAUAUUGUGUCAAGAGAUGUUCAUCGGCCAGAGGAUAAGGCCCAAGCCCUGGCGGAUACAGGACUUGUUCAGUCAUCUCAUAAACCAGGCAAGUGGCUUAAUUUUGUUUAUGUCUUCUACAAGGAUGGUCUCAUACCCUGCCUGCUUCCCCUCCUCACCUCUACCUCAUUGUGGUUCGUUGCUAAGAAAAAGAACGACCGCGUACAGUUCCCGUUGGUUGCCUUGCUGCCCUGGGGCGCGAGCUCAUCCACCAGGGGUGUUGGCAGCUGUCCAAGUGGAGCGUUGACGCCAGUACAAGUAGAAUCGUGGGUUGCGGCCACCAUCUUCACCAAGCGCCGCACAUCCGUCCAAGUCGAGCACACACACAGGGAGAACACACCAGCCCCUUUGCUUUGCACAUUGCUUGGUUAUGCAUGA